This 128-nucleotide ribosomal RNA is filed under the name Enterobacter hormaechei. Its description in RNAcentral is "partial 23S ribosomal RNA". The stretch from base 1 to 115 matches the Rfam family "Bacterial large subunit ribosomal RNA", at positions 2800 to 2925 of the family's 2925-position model. The record is from RNAcentral. Lineage: Bacteria; Pseudomonadati; Pseudomonadota; Gammaproteobacteria; Enterobacterales; Enterobacteriaceae.
UGAGACCUUGAGUCUCCUGAAGGAACGUUGAAGACGACGACGUUGAUAGGGCGGGUGUGUAAGCGCAGCGAUGCGUUGAGCUAACCGAUACUAAUGAACCGUGAGGCUUAACCUUACAACGCCGAAGC